AUUGAACGCUGGCGGCAGGCCUAACACAUGCAAGUCGAGCGGAUGAACGGUGCUUGCGCCUGGAUUCCGCGGCGGACGGGUGAGUGUUGCCCAGGAAUAUCCCGGGCAGUGCGGGAUAACGUCCGGAGACGGCCGCUAAUACCGCCUGCGUCCAGAUGGUGAAACUGGGGGAUCUUUGGACAUCACGCUCUCUGAUGAGCCUAGGUCGGAGUUGCUAGUUGGUGGGGUAAAGGCCUACCAAGGAGAGGAUCCGCAGCUGGUCGGAGAGGAGGAUCGGUCACACUGGAACUGGGACACGGUCAAGACGCCUACGGUAGGGAGCAGUGGGGAAUAGGAGGCAAAGGGCGAAAGCCUGAUCCAGCCAGGCCAAGUGUGUGAAGAAGGUCUUCGGAUUGGAAAGCACUCUAAGGGGGGAGGAAGCGCAGUAAGUUGAAACCUAGCUGUAUUGACGUUACCGACAGAAUAAGCACCGGCUAACUACGUG
Molecule: ribosomal RNA, 484 nt
Filed under: uncultured bacterium
Lineage: Bacteria
Description: partial 16S ribosomal RNA
Rfam family: Bacterial small subunit ribosomal RNA
Source: RNAcentral